ACGCGAGCUGGGUUCAGAACGUCGUGAGACAGUUCGGUCCCUAUCCGUCGCGGGCGUUGGAAAUUUGAGAGGAGCUGUCCUUAGUACGAGAGGACCGGGAUGGACUUACCGCUGGUGUACCAGUUGUUCUGCCAAGGGCAUUGCUGGGUAGCUAUGUAGGGAAGGGAUAAACGCUGAAAGCAUCUAAGUGUGAAGCCCACCUCAAGAUGAGAUUUCCCAUUUCUUUAAGAAAGUAAGACCCCUGAGAGAUGAUCAGGUAGAUAGGUUGGAAGUGGAAGGCUAGUGAUAGUUGGAGCGGACCAAUACUAAUCGGUCGAGGACUUAACCAA
This 329-nucleotide ribosomal RNA is filed under the name Staphylococcus aureus. RNAcentral describes it as "partial 23S ribosomal RNA". It matches the Rfam family "Bacterial large subunit ribosomal RNA", at positions 2598 to 2925 of the family's 2925-position model. RNAcentral also lists the same sequence under 1 other name. The record is from RNAcentral. Lineage: Bacteria; Bacillati; Bacillota; Bacilli; Caryophanales; Staphylococcaceae.